CGCCCUUCAGAGGGGGACAACAGUUGGAGACGACUGCUAAUACCGCAUACGAUCCAAUCUCGGCAUCGAGACUGGAUGAAAGGUGGCCUCUAUUUAUAAGCUAUCACUGAAGGAGGGGAUUGCGUCUGAUUAGCUAGUUGGAGGGGUAACGGCCCACCAAGGCGAUGAUAAGUAGCCGGUCUGAGAGGAUGAACGGCCACAUUGGGACUGAGACACGGCCCAG
Molecule: ribosomal RNA, 223 nt
Filed under: uncultured bacterium
Lineage: Bacteria
Description: partial 16S ribosomal RNA
Rfam family: Bacterial small subunit ribosomal RNA
Source: RNAcentral